This is a non-coding RNA of Jatropha curcas, 535 nucleotides long. NCBI's taxonomy places the organism in Eukaryota, Viridiplantae, Streptophyta, Magnoliopsida, Malpighiales, Euphorbiaceae. The record is from RefSeq and is a predicted model, not a curated record.
GUGAAAUACUCCAUUUUAUGUUUACUGAAUCCUCCCCUAUUCUUUAAAAUUUCUGUACGACUAUGUUGUAUUCACAGCUUUUGGAAGAACUCAACAAGGGGGGACUGAGAGCUGAUGGUGAUAAUGAAUGUGAUAGAACCUCACUGGGAAAAUCAAUUAGCUUUUUCAGGUCGUCGUUCUUGCGACCUCUACUAAAAUCUUGCAAGGAAGAGAUAGAGAGUUCCCAUAAUGCAAAAAUCCAGAAGUCAAAGAAUUCCAUCAGCUGGUAAUGCUUUCGCCAACAUGUUAUCCUGCUCCUGGUGUAUAGAGAAGGUCCGGUCACAUUCAACUUAUAAUCGUGCUUUAAAAAUUAAGUUAACUACGAAUUUAACCAAUUACGUAGAUGUCUUAUACCUGCUUUCUGAUUUGCUUUAUAAUUAUAUAGAUGCUUGUAACCUGUUUGGCACUUGCUUUGCUCUUGUAAAGUACUGGUUUAACAAAGUUUGGAGAUUAUAUGCUCUCACUAACCACUGCACUACUCUUCCUUACCUUUGCA